UACGUAGGGUGCGAGCGUUGUCCGGAUUUAUUGGGCGUAAAGAGCUUGUAGGCGGUUGGUUGCGUCGAAAGUGCAAACUCAGGGCUUAACUCUGAGCCUGCUUUCGAUACGGGCUGACUGGAGGAAGGUAGGGGAGAAUGGAAUUCCCGGUGGAGCGGUGGAAUGCGCAGAUAUCGGGAGGAACACCAGUGGCGAAGGCGGUUCUCUGGACCUUUCCUGACGCUGAGAAGCGAAAGCGUGGGGAGCAAACAGGCUUAGAUACCCUGGUAGUCCACGCUGUAAACGGUGGGUACUAGGUGUGGGGGACAUUCCACGUUCUCUGUGCCGUAGCUAACGCAUUAAGUACCCCGCCUGGGGAGUACGGCCGCAAGGCUAAA
This 377-nucleotide ribosomal RNA is filed under the name uncultured bacterium. RNAcentral's name for it is "bacterial SSU rRNA". It matches the Rfam family "Bacterial small subunit ribosomal RNA", at positions 524 to 898 of the family's 1533-position model. The record is from RNAcentral.